AAGUACCUUGCACUUUUGGAGCGGCCGAUGUCUGAUUAGCUAGUUGGUGGGGUAAUGGCCUACCAAAGCUUCGAUCAGUAGCUGGUCUGAGAGGACGGCCAGCCACACUGGGACUGAGACACGGCCCAGACUCCUACGGGAGGCAGCAGUGGGGAAUUUUGGACAAUGGGCGCAAGCCUGAUCCAGCCAUGCCGCGUGAGUGAAGAAGGCCUUCGGGUUGUAAAGCUCUUUCAGUCGGGAAGAAAAGGUUGCGAYUAAUAAUCGCAAUUCAUGACGGUACCGGAAGAAGAAGCACCGGCUAACUACGUGCCAGCAGCCGCGGUAAUACGUAGGGUGCGAGCGUUAAUCGGAAUUACUGGGCAUAAAGGGUGCGCAGGCGGUUUUGUAAGUCAGAUGUGAAAUCCCCGGGCUUAACCUGGGAACU
Molecule: ribosomal RNA, 424 nt
Filed under: uncultured bacterium
Lineage: Bacteria
Description: bacterial SSU rRNA
Rfam family: Bacterial small subunit ribosomal RNA
Source: RNAcentral